Molecule: ribosomal RNA, 429 nt
Filed under: uncultured bacterium
Lineage: Bacteria
Description: bacterial SSU rRNA
Rfam family: Bacterial small subunit ribosomal RNA
Source: RNAcentral
GUGCCAGCAGCCGCGGUAAUACGUAGGGUGCGAGCGUUAAUCGGAAUUACUGGGCGUAAAGCGUGCGCAGGCGGUUAUGUAAGACAGAUGUGAAAUCCCCGGGCUCAACCUGGGAACUGCAUUUGUGACUGCAUGGCUAGAGUACGGUAGAGGGUGGUGGAAUUUCCUGUGUAGAGGUGAAAUUCGUAGAUAUUCGGAAGAACACCAGUGGCGAAGGCGACAUACUGGCUCAUUACUGACGCUGAGGCGCGAAAGCGUGGGGAGCAAACAGGAUUAGAUACCCUGGUAGUCCACGCCGUAAACGAUGUCAACUAGCCGUUGGAAUCCUUGAGAUUUUAGUGGCGCAGCUAACGCAUUAAGUUGACCGCCUGGGGAGUACGGCCGCAAGGUUAAAACUCAAAUGAAUUGACGGGGGCCCGCACAAGCGGU